This 478-nucleotide ribosomal RNA is filed under the name uncultured bacterium. Its description in RNAcentral is "partial 16S ribosomal RNA". The stretch from base 66 to 478 matches the Rfam family "Bacterial small subunit ribosomal RNA", at positions 39 to 507 of the family's 1533-position model. The record is from RNAcentral.
GGGGGGGGGGGGGGGGGGGGGGGGGGGGGGGGGGGGGGGGGGGGGGGGGGGGGGGGGGCCUUCGGGGGGGGGGCUUGGUUUCGAGUGGCGGGCGGGUGAGUAGCGCGUGGGUGGGCUGCCUGACACAGGGGGGUAGCAGUGGGGAACGACGGUUAGUACCGCAUACGACCACAGCCCCGCAUGGUGCGGGGGGAAAAACUCCGGUGGUAUGAGACGGACCCGCGUUCGAUUAUCCAUUUGGCGGGGUAACGGCCCACCAAAGCGACGAUCGAUAGCCGAUCUGAGAGGAUGACCGGACACAUUGGGACUGAGACACGGCCCAAACUCCUACGGGAGGCAGCAGUGGGGAAUAUUGCACAAUGGGGGAAACCCUGAUGCAGCGACGCCGCGUGAGUGAAGAAGUAUUUCGGUAUGUAAAGCUCUAUCAGCAGGGAAGAAAAUGACGGUACCUGAGUAAGAAGCCCCGGCUAACUACGUG